This 510-nucleotide ribosomal RNA is filed under the name uncultured bacterium. RNAcentral describes it as "partial 16S ribosomal RNA". It matches the Rfam family "Bacterial small subunit ribosomal RNA", at positions 28 to 507 of the family's 1533-position model. The record is from RNAcentral.
GACGAACGCUGGCGGCGUGCUUAACACAUGCAAGUCGAACGAAGAGCGAUGGAAGCUUGCUUCUAUCAAUCUUAGUGGCGAAUGGGUGAGUAACGCGUAAUCAACCUGCCCUUCAGAGGGGGACAACAGUUGGAAACGACUGCUAAUACCGCAUACGAUCUAAUCUCGGCAUCGAGGAUAGAUGAAAGGUGGCCUCUACAUGUAAGCUAUCACUGAAGGAGGGGAUUGCGUCUGAUUAGCUAGUUGGAGGGGUAGCGGCCCACCAAGGCGAUGAUCAGUAGCCGGUCUGAGAGGAUGAACGGCCACAUUGGGACUGAGACACGGCCCAGACUCCUACGGAAGGCAGCAGUGGGGAAUCUUCCGCAAUGGACGAAAGUCUGACGGAGCAACGCCGCGUGAGUGAUGACGGCCUUCGGGUUGUAAAGCUCUGUUAAUCGGGACGAAAGGCCUUCUUGCGAAUAGUGAGAAGGAUUGACGGUACCGGAAUAGAAAGCCACGGCUAACUACGUG